GGAACAGGAGGUUAAAGGUGCUGAUUCUCCAAGGAGGGAGAUUGCUAGUAAAGCGGCUGGAAUGGCGAACCCGAGCACAAGGAGAUGAGAAAUGACGACAAAUUGCAACCUGUAUGGAACAGGAGGGUAAAGGUGCUGAUUCUCCAAGGAGGGAGAUUGCUAGUAAAGCGGCUGGAAUGGCGAACCCGAGCACAAGGAGAUGAGAAAUGAGGACAAAUUGCCACCUGUACGGAACAGGAGGUUAAAGGUGCUGAUUCUCCAAGGAGGGAGAUUGCUAGUAAAGCGGCUGGAAUGGCGAACCCGAGGACAAGGAGAUGAGAAAUGAGGACAAAUUGCCACCUGUACGGAACAGGAGGUUAAAGGUGCUGAUUCUCCAAGGAGGGAG
Balaenoptera acutorostrata (minke whale) is the source of this 385-nucleotide long non-coding RNA. RefSeq lists it as uncharacterized. The record is from RefSeq and is a predicted model, not a curated record. The transcript is spliced from 4 exons. Lineage: Eukaryota; Metazoa; Chordata; Mammalia; Artiodactyla; Balaenopteridae.